RNA transcript from Myotis daubentonii (Daubenton's bat), 1912 nucleotides. It is a transcript of the gene named odr-4 GPCR localization factor homolog, with no coding region annotated. The transcript has 15 exons. NCBI's taxonomy places the organism in Eukaryota, Metazoa, Chordata, Mammalia, Chiroptera, Vespertilionidae. The record is from RefSeq and is a predicted model, not a curated record.
CGGCGCCACCCGACGCCCGAGACCCGGGGUGGGAGUGGGAAGUAAGGGGUGGGGCGUCCGUCGCCUUCUGAUGAAUUACUGCCUAAGGCCGGAGGGGAAUCGGGUCCCUGGAGGCUGGUACCCGGACCCGGAGCUCCUGGGACUGACUGGCUGGAGAUUGAAUUAGUUCUCAAUAAUGGGAAGAACCUACAUUGUAGAAGAGACUAUUGGCCAGUAUCUCUCAAACCUCAAUCUCCAAGGAAAGUCUUUUGUCUCAGGUCUUCUAAUAGGACAGUGUUCUUCACAAAAGGAUUAUGUGAUUCUUGCCACUAGAACACCACCGAAAGAGGAAAACAAUGAGAACCUCAAACAUCCCAAAGAUAAAGUGGAUAACUUGGAUGAAGAAUGGGCCACAGAACAUGCUAACCAGGUAUCCAGAAUGCUACCUGGGGGACUUUUAGUUCUUGGAGUAUUUAUUAUUACAACAUUAGAAAUGGGAAAUGAUUUUCAAAAUACCCUGCGCAGACUAGUAUUUGCUGUGGAAAAAUCUAUGAAUAAAAAGAGACUGUGGAAUUUCACAGAGGAGGAAGUCUCAGAUCGAGUGACACUUCAUAUUUGCUCUUCUACAAAAAAAAUACUUUGUCGAACUUAUGAUAUCCAUGAUCCAAAGAGUUCAGCAAAACCAGCAGAUUGGAAGUAUCAAAAUGGACUAUUAACUUCAUGGCUUUCUUUAGAGUGUACAGUUCAUAUUAAUAUUCACAUCCCACUGUCUACUACUUCUGUCAGCUAUCCUCUGGAGAAAAAUACAAAGAAUGGACUUGCACGCUGGGCGAAGCAAAUAGAAAAUGGUGUUUAUUUGAUUAAUGGACAAGUUAAAGCUGAAGAUUGUGACCUACUAGAAGGACAGAAAAAACCUAGAGGAAAUGCUCAAGCAAGUAGUUGUUCUUUUGAUGUCAGAGUGUUAACACAGUUGCUUCUGAAUUCAGACCACAGAUCCACAGCCACCGUCCAGAUCUGCAGCGGCUCUGUAAACCUUAAGGGCGCUGUGAAGUGCAGAGCUUACAUUCAUAGCAAUAAACCCAAGGUUAAGGAUGCUGUGCAGGCAGUGAAGAGAGAUAUAUUGAAUACAGUUGCCGAUCGUUGUGAAAUACUAUUUGAGGAUCUGCUUUUGAAUGAAAUUCCAGAAAAAAAAGAUUCUGAAAAAGAGUUUCACAUCCUUCCUCACCGGGUUUUUGUCCCCAUUCUGGGAUCCACGGUAAUGUUAUGUGAUUAUAAAUUUGGUGAUGAGUCAGCUGAAGAAAUCAGAGACCAUUUUAUAGAGAUGUUAGAUCAUAGGAUUCAAAUAGAAGAUUUGGAAAUUGCAGAGGAAAUAAACACAGCUUUUCUGAGUUCCUCUAUGAAUUCUGAAGCUCCGUUGGACAAUAGAGAUGAUGAACAGCCAAAAGAACCAAUGCAAACUUCAAUAGUAUUGAAAAUUCGGCAAAACAUGGGUAUGAUUGCAGCAUUUGCAGUUGCAGUCCUUGCUGUGGGUAUCGCCUUUCACUACUUCAGUGAUUAGGGUGAAGCACAAAGAGCUUCCUGAUCAUCCACAGAACACUGACCAACAAUUAUGAAUAAUAAAAGAUGCAAACAAGCCUUCUGCAUUUAAGACAACAGCAGCCAAUCUGCUGCCAAACUCCUAUUAGAUUUUAGUCCUCUUGAUCUGGAUCACAUAUUCAUCAGGACAUUGAGAAUUUGAAUAGUCAGGGUUGGCUGAAUAUCUUAGUCAUAGAACAAAAGGAGAAAUUUCUACAAAGUGGGGCAACAACCUAUUGGGUAAGUUCAUACUGUAGGACCUUUCUAAUGUUUACCCAGUUCCAAAAUAUUGACCAAGUUCUGAUCAAGGAGUAGGAGACCUUUCCGGAUUUGAAUCAGUAAAGAUUGCCAUAAAUCA